Molecule: ribosomal RNA, 601 nt
Filed under: Sporobolomyces cf. roseus AY-14
Lineage: Eukaryota; Fungi; Basidiomycota; Microbotryomycetes; Sporidiobolales; Sporidiobolaceae
Description: eukaryotic LSU rRNA
Rfam family: Eukaryotic large subunit ribosomal RNA
Source: RNAcentral
UAAGCGGAGGAAAAGAAACUAACAAGGAUUCCCCUAGUAGCGGCGAGCGAAGCGGGAAAAGCUCAAAUUUGUAAUCUGGCGUCUACGACGUCCGAGUUGUAAUCUCGAGAAGUGUUUUCCGUGAUAGACCGCAUACAAGUCUCUUGGAACAGAGCGUCAUAGUGGUGAGAACCCAGUACACGAUGCGGAUGCCUAUUACUUUGUGAUACACUUUCGAAGAGUCGAGUUGUUUGGGAAUGCAGCUCAAAUUGGGUGGUAAAUUCCAUCUAAAGCUAAAUAUUGGCGAGAGACCGAUAGCGAACAAGUACCGUGAGGGAAAGAUGAAAAGCACUUUGGAAAGAGAGUUAACAGUACGUGAAAUUGUUGGAAGGGAAACACAUGCAGCCAGACUUGCUAUUCGGGGCAACUCGAUUGGCAGGCCCGCAUCAGUUUUUCGGGGCGGAAAAUCAUAGAGAGAAGGUAGCAGUUUCGGCUGUGUUAUAGCUCUUUAUUGGAUUCGCCCUGGGGGACUGAGGAACGCAGCGUGCUUUUAGCAUAAGCUUCGGCUUAUCCACGCUUAGGAUGCGGGUGUAAUGGCUGUAUAUGACCCGUCUUGAAACAC